UACGGAGGGGGCAAGCGUUGUCCGGAUUCACUGGGGUUAAAGGGUGCGUAGGAGGGCAGGUAAGUCAGUGGUGAAAUCUCCAAGCUUAACUUGGAAACUGCCGUUGAUACUAUCUGUCUUGAAUAUUGUGGAGGUGAGCGGAAUAUGUCAUGUAGCGGUGAAAUGCUUAGAUAUGACAUAGAACACCAAUUGCGAAGGCAGCUCACUACUCAAUCAUUGACUCUGAGGCACGAAAGCGUGGGGAUCAAACAGG
RNAcentral lists this ribosomal RNA (253 nucleotides) under uncultured bacterium. Its description in RNAcentral is "partial 16S ribosomal RNA". It matches the Rfam family "Bacterial small subunit ribosomal RNA", at positions 524 to 776 of the family's 1533-position model. The record is from RNAcentral.